Molecule: non-coding RNA, 442 nt
Organism: Cinara cedri
Lineage: Eukaryota; Metazoa; Arthropoda; Insecta; Hemiptera; Aphididae
Source: the annotation of a GenBank genome assembly
UUUUUUGAUAUUUAGAAUUAACUAGCUUAUUGAAAUGAUUAACCAAAUGCAUCAAAUCAUCUUUCUUUUUUUGCUUUCACAGGAAAACUUAUACUUAUUGUGCAUAUAGUUAUUUUUACUGUCUGCAUAAUGCAUUCCUAGCAUUUCACUCUAUUUAUUCACUAAGUUAGAUAGACUUUGACUACUACGAAAGUAUACUUUAAAGUACUUACUCUUUUUUAAUUUACUUGAUAUAGAACUAUUUAUUAUAGUGUAGCUCCUAAUUGAAAAAGAAGCAAAUCCCCUAAACUCAAUCCUAUCAUGAUUUUUUAGCGUUUCUGAAAGCAUUGCAAAAAACUUAUCAAGCACUGCUAUAACUAGCACCUUGUGUAAAGAAGAAUAUUUCUCUAAAAUUUUUCUUACUAUAUCAGACUUCGUUGCCAUAGCAAAAACAUAUCCCUUA